AAAUUGAAGAGUUUGAUCAUGGCUCAGAUUGAACGCUGGCGGCAGGCCUAACACAUGCAAGUCGAACGGUAACAGGAAGCAGCUUGCUGCUUUGCUGACGAGUGGCGGACGGGUGAGUAAUGUCUGGGAAACUGCCUGAUGGAGGGGGAUAACUACUGGAAACGGUGGCUAAUACCGCAUAACGUCGCAAGACCAAAGAGGGGGACCUUCGGGCCUCUUGCCAUCAGAUGUGCCCAGAUGGGAUUAGCUUGUUGGUGAGGUAACGGCUCACCAAGGCGACGAUCCCUAGCUGGUCUGAGAGGAUGACCAGCCACACUGGAACUGAGACACGGUCCAGACUCCUACGGGAGGCAGCAGUGGGGAAUAUUACACAAUGGGCGCAAGCCUGAUGCAGCCAUGCCGCGUGUAUGAAGAAGGCCUUCGGGUUGUAAAGUACUUUCAGCGGGGAGGAAGGUGUUG
This 459-nucleotide ribosomal RNA is filed under the name Salmonella enterica subsp. enterica serovar Typhimurium. RNAcentral describes it as "bacterial SSU rRNA". It matches the Rfam family "Bacterial small subunit ribosomal RNA", at positions 1 to 456 of the family's 1533-position model. The record is from RNAcentral. Lineage: Bacteria; Pseudomonadati; Pseudomonadota; Gammaproteobacteria; Enterobacterales; Enterobacteriaceae.